GAGUUUGAUCAUGGCUCAGGAUGAACGCUGGCGGCGUGCCUAACACAUGCAAGUCGAGCGGGAAGGGGAGAGACGGAGACUUCGGUUGAAGUUUCUUCCCGGAUAGCGGCGGACGGGUGAGUAACGCGUGGGUAACCUGCCUUCUACAGAGGGAUAGCCACUGGAAACGGUGAUUAAUACCUCAUGACACUGCCGGGGCGCAUGCUCUGACAGUCAAAGAUUUUAUCGGUAGAAGAUGGACCCGCGUCUGAUUAGCUGGUUGGUGAGGUAACGGCUCACCAAGGCGACGAUCAGUAGCCGGCCUGAGAGGGUGAACGGCCACACUGGAACUGAGACACGGUCCAGACUCCUACGGGAGGCAGCAGUGGGGAAUAUUCGGCAAUGGGGGGAACCCUGACCGAGCAACGCCGCGUGAAUGAUGAAGGCCUUCGGGUUGUAAAGUUCUGUCAUUCGGGAAGAUCGUGACGUACCGAAUGAGGAGCCCCG
Molecule: ribosomal RNA, 486 nt
Filed under: Peptostreptococcaceae bacterium canine oral taxon 105
Lineage: Bacteria; Bacillati; Bacillota; Clostridia; Peptostreptococcales; Peptostreptococcaceae
Description: bacterial SSU rRNA
Rfam family: Bacterial small subunit ribosomal RNA
Source: RNAcentral